UCCCUCAUAUCUCAGCUGGUAAAGAAUCUGCCUGCAAUGCAGGAGACCUGGGUUCAACUCCUGGGUUGGGAA
Molecule: transfer RNA, 72 nt
Filed under: Bos taurus (domestic cattle)
Lineage: Eukaryota; Metazoa; Chordata; Mammalia; Artiodactyla; Bovidae
Also listed under: 4 other names
Rfam family: tRNA
About the family: Transfer RNA (tRNA) molecules are approximately 80 nucleotides in length. Their secondary structure includes four short double-helical elements and three loops (D, anti-codon, and T loops).
Source: Rfam by way of RNAcentral